AUAGAUAGAUCUGUCUGUCUGUCUGUCUGUCUGUCUGUCUGUCUGUCUCCCUCCUGUGUGUGUGUGUGUGUGUGUGUGUGUGUGUGUGUGUGUGUGUGUGUGUGUGUGUGUGUGUGUGUGUGUGUGUGUGCGCGUGUGUGNNAUCUGUCUGUCUGUCUGUCUGUCUGUCUGUCUUUCUGUCUGUCUAUCUGUCUCUCUGUCUCUGUCUGUCUGUCUAUCUACUGUGUGUGUGUGUGUGUGUGUGGGUGUGUCUGUCGGUCUGUCGGUCUGUGUGUCUGUCUGUCUGUGUCCCUCGUGUGUGUGUGUGUGUGUGUCUCUCUCUCUGUCUGUCUCUCUCUUGUGUGUGUGUGUGUGUGUGUUUCUGUCUGUCUGUCUGUCUGUCUAUCGUGUGUGUGUGUGUGUGUGUGCGUGCGUGCGUGUGUGUGUGUGUGUGUGUCGGUCUGUCUGUCUGUCUGUCUGACUGUCUUUCUGCCUGUCUGUCUCUCUGUCUGUCUGUCUGGCUGCUGUGUUUGUGUGUCUGUCUGUCUGUCUAUCUGUCUGUCUCUCUGUGUGUCUGUCUGUCUGUGUCCCUCGUGUGUGUGUGUGUGUGUGUCUCUCUCUCUGUCUGUCUCUCUUUCUUUCUGUCUGUCUUUCUUUCUUUUUUGUUUGUUUGUCUGUCUGUCUGUCUAUUGUGUGGGUGGGUGUGUGGGUGUGUGGGUGUGUGUGUGUGUGUGUAUGUGUGUGUGUGUGUGUGUGUCUGUAUAUGUGUGUGUGUGUGUGUGUGUGGGUGUGUGUGGGUUGGUGUCUGCGUGCCCGCGUGCGUGUGUGUUUGUGUGUCUGUCUCUAUAUAUAUCUGUGUGUCUGUGUGUGUGUGUGUGUGUGUGCGUGUGUGUGCGGGCGUGCGCGUGUGUGUGUGUGUGUGUCUGUGUGUGUGUGUGUGUCUGUCUAUCUAUCUGUCUGUCUGUCUGUCUGUCUGUCUGUCUGUCUAUCUAUCUAUCUAUCUAUAUAUCUAUCUAUCUAUCUAUUUCAAUUAAAUUAAAUUAA
Molecule: long non-coding RNA, 1023 nt
Organism: Cyprinus carpio (common carp)
Lineage: Eukaryota; Metazoa; Chordata; Actinopteri; Cypriniformes; Cyprinidae
Source: Ensembl